Molecule: ribosomal RNA, 457 nt
Filed under: Acanthamoeba sp.
Lineage: Eukaryota; Discosea; Longamoebia; Acanthamoebidae
Description: SSU rRNA
Rfam family: Eukaryotic small subunit ribosomal RNA
Source: RNAcentral
GGCCCAGAUCGUUUACCGUGAAAAAAUUAGAGUGUUCAAAGCAGGCAGAUCCAAUUUUCUGCCACCGAAUACAUUAGCAUGGGAUAAUGGAAUAGGACCCUGUCCUCCUAUUUUCAGUUGGUUUUGGCAGCGCGAGGACUAGGGUAAUGAUUAAUAGGGAUAGUUGGGGGCAUUAAUAUUUAAUUGUCAGAGGUGAAAUUCUUGGACUUAUGAAAGAUUAACUUCUGCGAAAGCAUCUGCCAAGGAUGUUUUCAUUAAUCAAGAACGAAAGUUAGGGGAUCGAAGACGAUCAGAUACCGUCGUAGUCUUAACCAUAAACGAUGCCGACCAGCGAUUAGGAGACGUUGAAUACAAAAUACCACCAUCGGUGCGGUCGUCCUUGGCGUCGGUUUCGGCCGGCGCGGGGGCGGCUUAGCCCGGUGGCACCGGUGAAUGACUCCCCUAGCAGCUUGUGAGA